This 680-nucleotide ribosomal RNA is filed under the name uncultured bacterium. RNAcentral describes it as "bacterial SSU rRNA". It matches the Rfam family "Bacterial small subunit ribosomal RNA", at positions 8 to 733 of the family's 1533-position model. The record is from RNAcentral.
AGAGUUUGAUCAUGGCUCAGAACGUACGCUGGCGGCACGCCUAACACAUGCAAGUCGAACGAAGUAGCAAUACUUAGUGGCAGACGGGUGAGUAACAUGUGGGUAUCUACCCUUUGGCCUGGAAUAACACGAGGAAACUUGUGCUAAUACCGGAUAAGUCUUUACAGAGAAAGCUUUAUGCACCAUUGGAUGAGCCUGCACUUGAUUAGUUAGUUGGUAGGGUAAUGGCCUACCAAGACUUUGAUCAAUAGCUGAUUUGAGAGGAUGAUCAGCCACAUUGGGACUGAGACACGGCCCAAACUCCUACGGGAGGCAGCAGUGGGGAAUCUUGCACAAUGGAGGAAACUCUGAUGCAGCGAUGCCGCGUGAGUGAAGAAGGCCCUUGGGUUGUAAAGCUCUUUCGUCGGGGAAGAAAAUGACUGUACCCGAAUAAGAAGGUCCGGCUAACUUCGUGCCAGCAGCCGCGGUAAUACGAAGGGACCUAGCGUAGUUCGGAAUUACUGGGCUUAAAGAGUUCGUAGGUGGUUGAAAAAGUUGGUGGUGAAAUCCCAGAGCUUAACUCUGGAACUGCCAUCAAAACUUUUCAGCUAGAGUAUGAUAGAGGAAAGCAGAAUUUCUAGUGUAGAGGUGAAAUUCGUAGAUAUUAGAAAGAAUACCAAUUGCGAAGGCAGCUUUCUGGA